AUAGCCAUAUGGAGAGGGAGAGGUAAAUAUGAUGGACAGACAUAUGGAGAGUGUUACAGUAAUUAUGGUAGAUGGCCAUAGGGAGAGUGUUACAGUAAUUAUGGUAGCCAUAGGGAGAGUGUUACAGUGAUUAUGGUAGAUGGCCAUAUGGAGAGUGUUACAGUGAUUAUGGUAGAUGGCCAUAGGGAGAGUGUUACAGUAAUUAUGGUAGAUGGCCAUAGGGAGAGUGUUACAGUGAUUAUGGUAGCCAUAGGGAGAGUGUUACAGUGAUUAUGGUAGAUGGCCAUAUGGAGAGUGUUACAGUGAUUAUGGUAGCCAUAGGGAGAGUGUUACAGUGAUUAUGGUAGAUGGCCAUAUGGAGAGUGUUACAGUGAUUAUGGUAGAUGGCCAUAGGGAGAGUGUUACAGUAAUUAUGGUAGCCAUAGGGAGAGUGUUACAGUGAUUAUGGUAGAUGGCCAUAGGGAGAGUGUUACAGUCAUUAUGGUAGCCAUAGGGAGAGUGUUACAGUGAUUAUGGUAGCCAUAGGGAGAGUGUUACAGUGAUUAUGGUAGCCAUAGGGAGAGUGUUACAGUCAUUAUGGUAGAUAGCCAUAGGGAGAGUGUUACAGUGAUUAUGGUAGAUAGCCAUAGGGAGAGUGUUACAGUGAUUAUGGUAGAUAGCCAUAUAGUAACAGCAGCUGAGGAGGAAUCCAAUAAGGGUGGCUGGCAUUCAGUUCAUCUUUUUAUUUUUUCCCUAAAGUUUGCUAUUUCCAAGUGAAUUGACAAUAAUUCCAGAUUAGUGACCGGCUCUGUUAAGGAGUGUGAGCCUCUGAGAGGUAGAUGACAUCCGGGCUUAUAAUAAGUAAAACAUGGGAAGGAUUUAUCAAAGUGUCAGGAUUUGGAGAUUGGAACAAAUAUAUCAAAGUGGAGCUACCCCAAGGCACGGCCUGCCGAGUGCUCUGCUUUCUAUGGUUUGUAGGACUCUCCAGGUGGGGACAGUUUGAUAAAUCUCCUUUCAGCCAAUUUAAAGGAGAUUUGCUGUAAUACCA
Molecule: non-coding RNA, 1027 nt
Organism: Pelobates cultripes (western spadefoot toad)
Lineage: Eukaryota; Metazoa; Chordata; Amphibia; Anura; Pelobatidae
Source: the annotation of a GenBank genome assembly